AGGACGAACGUUGGCGGCGUGCCUAACACAUGCAAGUUGAGCGUGGCUUUAGUUUACUAAAGUCUAGCAGCGGACGGCAGAGUAAUGCUCAGGAACGUACCUCGAGGUGGGGGGAUAGCUCGUCGAAAGACGAGGUAAUACCGCAUAUGAUCGCAAGAUCAAAGCCGCAAGGCGCCAUGAGAACGGCCUGAGUCCUAUCAGGUAGUUGGUGGGGUAAUAGCCUACCAAGCCUAUGACGGGUAGCUGGUCUGAGAGGAUGAUCAGCCUGAUCGGGACUGAGACACGGCCCGAACUCCUACGGGAGGCAGCAGUUGGGAAUUUUGCACAAUGGACGAAAGUCUGAUGCAGCGACGCCGCGUGGAGGAUGAAGGUCUUCGGAUCGUAAGCCCUGUGGGGAGAGACGAAUAAGUCGGAGCCAAUACCUCCGGCGAUGACGGUAUCUCCUUAGCAAGCACCGGCUAACUCUGUCGCCAGCAGCCGUA
This 482-nucleotide ribosomal RNA is filed under the name uncultured bacterium. RNAcentral's name for it is "SSU rRNA". It matches the Rfam family "Bacterial small subunit ribosomal RNA", at positions 26 to 519 of the family's 1533-position model. The record is from RNAcentral.